Molecule: ribosomal RNA, 253 nt
Filed under: uncultured bacterium
Lineage: Bacteria
Description: partial 16S ribosomal RNA
Rfam family: Bacterial small subunit ribosomal RNA
Source: RNAcentral
UACGUAGGGGGCAAGCGUUGUUCGGAAUUACUGGGCGUAAAGCGCACGCAGGUGGCUAUGCAAGUCGGAUGUGAAAGCCCCGGGCUCAACCUGGGAACUGCAUUCGAUACUGCAUAGCUAGAGUAUGGGAGAGGGAAGUGGAAUUCCCGGUGUAGCGGUGAAAUGCGUAGAUAUCGGAAGGAACACCAGUGGCGAAAGCGACUUCCUGGACCAAUACUGACGCUCAGGCGCGAAAGCGUGGGGAGCAAACAGG